ACCUGUGCAUGCACUAUACAUAAUCAUAAACAUUGACCCCUCUUUGGGAUCUCAUCAAUGCCCCAAUGGGUGACAUAACAUGUGUUGAGUUGGUUUACAUAAACAUCAUAAAACAUCUGAGAUCAUGUAUUAAAAGGGAUAACAAUACUCUAUGGUCAAGCACACCUCUAACAUCCAUGAACAUCUUUACAUUACAUUUCUAUACUGUACUUAU
Molecule: long non-coding RNA, 214 nt
Filed under: Manihot esculenta (cassava)
Lineage: Eukaryota; Viridiplantae; Streptophyta; Magnoliopsida; Malpighiales; Euphorbiaceae
Description: long non-coding RNA (MESC_LNC011618)
Source: RNAcentral